UACGGAGGAUGCGAGCGUUAUCCGGAAUCACUGGGUUUAAAGGGUGCGUAGGCGGGAAAAUAAGUCAGAGGUGAAAUCUGGUCGCUUAACGAUCAAAUUGCCUUUGAAACUGUUUUUCUUGAAAUAUGAUGAGGUUGGCAGAAUGUGACAUGUAGCGGUGAAAUGCAUAGAUAUGUCAUAGAAUACCAAUUGCGAAGGCAGCUGACUGGUCAUUAUUUGACGCUGAGGCACGAAAGCGUGGGGAGCGAACAGG
This 253-nucleotide ribosomal RNA is filed under the name uncultured bacterium. Its description in RNAcentral is "partial 16S ribosomal RNA". It matches the Rfam family "Bacterial small subunit ribosomal RNA", at positions 524 to 776 of the family's 1533-position model. The record is from RNAcentral.